GCCCCUGUAGCUCAACCGGACAGAGCGAAAGAUUUCUAAUCUUUAGGUUACGGGUUCGAGUCCUGUCAGGGGUACCA
RNAcentral lists this transfer RNA (77 nucleotides) under Dehalococcoidia bacterium. Its description in RNAcentral is "tRNA-Arg". It matches the Rfam family "tRNA". From Rfam's summary of the family: Transfer RNA (tRNA) molecules are approximately 80 nucleotides in length. Their secondary structure includes four short double-helical elements and three loops (D, anti-codon, and T loops). Further hydrogen bonds mediate the characteristic L-shaped molecular structure. tRNAs have two regions of fundamental functional importance: the anti-codon, which is responsible for specific mRNA codon recognition, and the 3' end, to which the tRNAs corresponding amino acid is attached (by aminoacyl-tRNA synthetases). tRNAs cope with the degeneracy of the genetic code in two manners: having more than one tRNA (with a specific anti-codon) for a particular amino acid; and 'wobble' base-pairing, i.e. permitting non-standard base-pairing at the 3rd anti-codon position. The record is from RNAcentral. Lineage: Bacteria; Bacillati; Chloroflexota; Dehalococcoidia.